AAUAGAUACCCCGGUAGUCCACGCCGUAAACGGUGGGUACUAGGUGUAGGGGACAUUCCACGUUCUCUGUGCCGUAGCUAACGCAUUAAGUACCCCGCCUGGGGAGUACGGCCGCAAGGCUAAAACUCAAAGGAAUUGACGGGGCCCCGCACAAGCGGCGGAGCAUGCGGAUUAAUUCGAUGCAACGCGAAGAACCUUACCUGGGUUUGACAUAUACCGGAAACGUCUAGAGAUAGGCGCCCCGCAAGGUCGGUAUACAGGUGGUGCAUGCCUGUCGUCAGCUCGUGUCGUGAGAUGUUGAGUUAAGUCCCGCAACGAGCGCAACCCUCGUCCAAUGUUGCCAGCGGAUAAUGCCGGGGACUCAUUGGAGACCGCCGGGGUCAACUCGGAGGAAGGUGGGGAUGACGUCAAGUCAUCAUGCCCCUUAUGUCCAGGGCUUCACGCAUGCUACAAUGGCCGGUACAAAGAGCUGCAAACCUGCAAGGGUGAGCGAAUCUCAAAAAGCCGGUCUCAGUUCGGAUUGGGGUCUGCAACUCGACCCC
Molecule: ribosomal RNA, 542 nt
Filed under: uncultured bacterium
Lineage: Bacteria
Description: bacterial SSU rRNA
Rfam family: Bacterial small subunit ribosomal RNA
Source: RNAcentral